GGAUCAUUACCGAGAGGGGCUUCGCGCCCCAGGGGGCCUCGGCCCCCAACUCUCAACCCUAUGAAUAUAUACCUUUCCGUUGCUUUGGCGGGUCUUGGGGUCAAGCCCAUGCCGGUUCGCCGGCGAGUGCCCGCCAGAAGCCCACCAAAAACCCGUUUACCAGUAUUGUCCGAGUCUAAACCAAAUAAUCAAAACUUUCAACAACGGAUCUCUUGGCUCUGGCAUCGAUGAAGAACGCAGCGAAAUGCGAGAAGUAAUGUGAAUUGCAGAAUUCAGUGAAUCAUCGAAUCUUUGAACGCACAUUGCGCCCCUCGGUAUUCCGGGGGGCAUGCCUGUCCGAGCGUCAUUACACCCCUCAAGCGUAGCUUGGUAUUGGGCUUCGCUCACCUGAUAAAGGAGCGUGCCUGAAAAGUAGUGGCGGUCCGGCGUGACUCUGAACGUAGUAAAUCUUCUCCCGUUCCGAGAGCUCGCGCUGGCCUAGCCAGAAAACCACCAAAUCUUCA
The sequence is a ribosomal RNA, 503 nucleotides long. The stretch from base 193 to 346 matches the Rfam family "5.8S ribosomal RNA".